RNAcentral lists this unclassified non-coding RNA (307 nucleotides) under plant metagenome. RNAcentral's name for it is "partial contains 5.8S ribosomal RNA, internal transcribed spacer 2, and large subunit ribosomal RNA". The stretch from base 1 to 105 matches the Rfam family "5.8S ribosomal RNA", at positions 50 to 154 of the family's 154-position model. The record is from RNAcentral.
GAAAUGCGAUAAGUAAUGUGAAUUGCAGAAUUCAGUGAAUCAUCGAAUCUUUGAACGCACAUUGCGCCCGCCAGCACUCUGGCGGGCAUGCCUGUUCGAGCGUCAUUUCAACCCUCAGAACCCCUUGCGGGAUCUGGCGUUGGGGAUUGGCAUACAGCCAGCCCCGAAAUCUAGUGGCGGUCCCUCCGCGACCUCCCCUGUGCAGUAGCGAUACCUCGCAGCGGGACAGCGGUCUGACCACGCCGUAAAACCCCCAACUUCUCAAGGUUGACCUCGAAUCAGGUAGGAAUACCCGCUGAACUUAAGC